RNAcentral lists this ribosomal RNA (424 nucleotides) under uncultured bacterium. RNAcentral's name for it is "bacterial SSU rRNA". It matches the Rfam family "Bacterial small subunit ribosomal RNA", at positions 358 to 773 of the family's 1533-position model. The record is from RNAcentral.
GGGAUAUUGCGCAAUGGGCGAAAGCCUGACGCAGCGACGCCGCGUGGGUGAUGAAGGCCUUCGGGUCGUAAAGCCCUGUCGAGGGGGAAGAAUCGGUCGCGCCCCAACACGUCGCGAUCCUGACGGUACCCCUAAAGGAAGCACCGGCUCACUCCGUGCCAGCAGCCGCGGUAAUACGGAGGGUGCGAGCGUUGUUCGGACUCACUGGGCGUAAAGCGCGUGUAGGCGGCCCAUUAAGUCUGAUGUGAAAGCCCGGGGCUCACCCCCGGAAGUGCAUUGGAAACUGAUGGGCUGGAGUCCCGGAGAGGAGGGUGGAAUUCCUGGUGUAGCGGUGAAAUGCGUAGAUGUCAGGAGGAACACCGGUGGCGAAGGCGGCCCUCUGGACGGUGACUGACGCUGAGACGCGAAAGCGUGGGGAGCAAAC